GGUUGGAGUUAGGGUUAGUGUUGGAGCUAGGGUUAGGGUUGGGCUUGGAGCUAGGAUUUUUCUGAGUGCACUGAACCAACUCCCGAGUCUCUAGGACAUUCCUAAAAAAAAUUGAUUUUUUCCCAUAGGAAUGCAUGGGUUAGGGUUAUGGUUAGGGUUAGGGUUGGAGCUAGGGUUAGGGUUAGGGUUAGGGUUGGAGUUAGGGUUAGUGUUGGAGCUAGGGUUAGGGUUGGGCUUGGAGCUAGGAUUUUUCUGAGUGCACUGAACCAACUCCCGAGUCUCUAGGACAUUCCUAAAAAAUUUGAUUUUUUCCCAUAGGAAUGCAUGGGUUAGGGUUAUGGUUAGGGUUAGGGUUGGAGCUAGGGUUAGGGUUAGGGUUAGGGUUGGAGUUAGAGUUAGUGUUGGAGCUAGGGUUAGGGUUGGGCUUGGAGCUAGGAUUUUUCUGAGUGCACUGAACCAACUCCCGAGUCUCUAGGACAUUCCUAAAAAAAUUUGAUUUUUUCCCAUAGGAAUGCAUGGGUUAGGGUUAUGGUUAGGGUUAGGGUUGGAGCUAGGGUUAGGGUUAGGGUUAGGGUUGGAGUUAGGGUUAGUGUUGGAGCUAGGGUUAGGGUUGGGCUUGGAGCUAGGAUUUUUCUGAGUGCACUGAACCAACUCCCGAGUCUCUAGGACAUUCCUAAAAAAAUUUGAUUUUUUCCCAUAGGAAUGCAUGGGUUAGGGUUAUGGUUAGGGUUAGGGUUGGAGCUAGGGUUAGGGUUAGGGUUAGGGUUGGAGUUAGGGUUAGUGUUGGAGCUAGGGUUAGGGUUGGGCUUGGAGCUAGGAUUUUUCUGAGUGCACUGAACCAACUCCCGAGUCUCUAGGACAUUCCUAAAAAAAUUUGAGUUUUUCCCAUAGGAAUGCAUGGGUUAGGGUUAGGGUUAGGGUUGGAGCUAGGGUUAGGGUUAGGGUUGCAGUUAGGGUUAGUGUUGGAGCUAGGGUUAGGGUUGGGCUUGGAGCUAGGAUUUUUCUGAGUGCACUGAACCAACUCCCGAGUCUCUAGGACAUUCCUAAAAAAAUUUGAUUUUUUCCCAUAGGAAUGCAUGGGUUAGGGUUAUGGUUAGGGUUAGGGUUGGAGCUAGGGUUAGGGUUAGGGUUAGGGUUGGAGUUAGAGUUAGUGUUGGAGCUAGGGUUAGGGUUGGGCUUGGAGCUAGGAUUUUUCUGAGUGCACUGAACCAACUCCCGAGUCUCUAGGACAUUCCUAAAAAAAUUUGAUUUUUUCCCAUAGGAAUGCAUGGGUUAGGGUUAUGGUUAGGGUUAGGGUUGGAGCUAGGGUUAGGGUUAGGGUUAGGGUUGGAGUUAGGGUUAGUGUUGGAGCUAGGGUUAGGGUUGGGCUUGGAGCUAGGAUUUUUCUGAGUGCACUGAACCAACUCCCGAGUCUCUAGGACGUUCCUAAAAAAAUUUGAUUUUUUCCCAUAGGAAUGCAUGGGUUAGGGUUAGGGUUAGGGUUGGAGCUAGGGUUAGGGUUAGGGUUAGGGUUGGAGUUAGGGUUAGUGUUGGAGCUAGGGUUAGGGUUGGGCUUGGAGCUAGGAUUUUUCUGAGUGCACUGAACCAACUCCCGAGUCUCUAGGACAUUCCUAAAAAAAUUUGAGUUUUUCCCAUAGGAAUGCAUGGGUUAGGGUUAGGGUUAGGGUUGGAGCUAGGGUUAGGGUUAGGGUUAGGGUUGGAGUUAGGGUUAGUGUUGGAGCUAGGGUUAGGGUUGGGCUUGGAGCUAGGAUUUUUCUGAGUGCACUGAACCAACUCCCGAGUCUCUAGGACAUUCCUAAAAAAAUUUGAUUUUUUUCCCAUAGGAAUGCAUGGGUUAGGGUUAUGGUUAGGGUUAGGGUUGGAGCUAGGGUUAGGGUUAGGGUUAGGGUUGGAGUUAGGGUUAGUGUUGGAGCUAGGGUUAGGGUUGGGCUUGGAGCUAGGAUUUUUCUGAGUGCACUGAACCAACUCCCGAGUCUCUAGGACAUUCCUAAAAAAAUUUGAUUUUUUCCCAUAGGAAUGCAUGGGUUAGGGUUAGGGUUAGGGUUGGAGCUAGGGUUAGGGUUAGGGUUAGGGUUGGAGUUAGGGUUAGUGUUGGAGCUAGGGUUAGGGUUGGGCUUGGAGCUAGGAUUUUUCUGAGUGCACUGAACCAACUCCCGAGUCUCUAGGACAUUCCUAAAAAAAUUUGAUUUUUUCCCAUAGGAAUGCAUGGGUUAGGGUUAUGGUUAGGGUUAGGGUUGGAGCUAGGGUUAGGGUUAGGGUUAGGGUUGGAGUUAGGGUUAGUGUUGGAGCUAGGGUUAGGGUUGGGCUUGGAGCUAGGAUUUUUCUGAGUGCACUGAACCAACUCCCGAGUCUCUAGGACAUUCCUAAAAAAAUUUGAUUUUUUCCCAUAGGAAUGCAUGGGUUAGGGUUAUGGUUAGGGUUAGGGUUGGAGCUAGGGUUAGGGUUAGGGUUAGGGUUGGAGUUAGGGUUAGUGUUGGAGCUAGGGUUAGGGUUGGGCUUGGAGCUAGGAUUUUUCUGAGUGCACUGAACCAACUCCCGAGUCUCUAGGACGUUCCUAAAAAAAUUUGAUUUUUUCCCAUAGGAAUGCAUGGGUUAGGGUUAGGGUUAGGGUUGGAGCUAGGGUUAGGGUUAGGGUUAGGGUUGGAGUUAGGGUUAGUGUUGGAGCUAGGGUUAGGGUUGGGCUUGGAGCUAGGAUUUUUCUGAGUGCACUGAACCAACUCCCGAGUCUCUAGGACAUUCCUAAAAAAAUUUGAUUUUUUCCCAUAGGAAUGCAUGGGUUAGGGUUAGGGUUAGGGUUGGAGCUAGGGUUAGGGUUAGGGUUGCAGUUAGGGUUAGUGUUGGAGCUAGGGUUAGGGUUGGGCUUGGAGCUAGGAUUUUUCUGAGUGCACUGAACCAACUCCCGAGUCUCUAGGACAUUCCUAAAAAAAUUUGAUUUUUUCCCAUAGGAAUGCAUGGGUUAGGGUUAUGGUUAGGGUUAGGGUUGGAGCUAGGGUUAGGGUUAGGGUUAGGGUUGGAGUUAGGGUUAGUGUUGGAGCUAGGGUUAGGGUUGGGCUUGGAGCUAGGAUUUUUCUGAGUGCACUGAACCAACUCCCGAGUCUCUAGGACAUUCCUAAAAAAAUUUGAUUUUUUCCCAUAGGAAUGCAUGGGUUAGGGUUAUGGUUAGGGUUAGGGUUGGAGCUAGGGUUAGGGUUAGGGUUAGGGUUGGAGUUAGGGUUAGUGUUGGAGCUAGGGUUAGGGUUGGGCUUGGAGCUAGGAUUUUUCUGAGUGCACUGAACCAACUCCCGAGUCUCUAGGACGUUCCUAAAAAAAUUUGAUUUUUUCCCAUAGGAAUGCAUGGGUUAGGGUUAGGGUUAGGGUUGGAGCUAGGGUUAGGGUUAGGGUUAGGGUUGGAGUUAGGGUUAGUGUUGGAGCUAGGGUUAGGGUUGGGCUUGGAGCUAGGAUUUUUCUGAGUGCACUGAACCAACUCCCGAGUCUCUAGGACAUUCCUAAAAAAAUUUGAGUUUUUCCCAUAGGAAUGCAUGGGUUAGGGUUAGGGUUAGGGUUGGAGCUAGGGUUAGGGUUAGGGUUAGGGUUGGAGUUAGGGUUAGUGUUGGAGCUAGGGUUAGGGUUGGGCUUGGAGCUAGGAUUUUUCUGAGUGCACUGAACCAACUCCCGAGUCUCUAGGACAUUCCUAAAAAAAUUUGAUUUUUUCCCAUAGGAAUGCAUGGGUUAGGGUUAUGGUUAGGGUUAGGGUUGGAGCUAGGGUUAGGGUUAGGGUUAGGGUUGGAGUUAGGGUUAGUGUUGGAGCUAGGGUUAGGGUUGGGCUUGGAGCUAGGAUUUUUCUGAGUGCACUGAACCAACUCCCGAGUCUCUAGGACAUUCCUAAAAAAAAUUGAUUUUUUCCCAUAGGAAUGCAUGGGUUAGGGUUAUGGUUAGGGUUAGGGUUGGAGCUAGGGUUAGGGUUAGGGUUAGGGUUGGAGUUAGGGUUAGUGUUGGAGCUAGGGUUAGGGUUGGGCUUGGAGCUAGGAUUUUUCUGAGUGCACUGAACCAACUCCCGAGUCUCUAGGACAUUCCUAAAAAAAUUUGAUUUUUUCCCAUAGGAAUGCAUGGGUUAGGGUUAUGGUUAGGGUUAGGGUUGGAGCUAGGGUUAGGGUUAGGGUUAGGGUUGGAGUUAGAGUUAGUGUUGGAGCUAGGGUUAGGGUUGGGCUUGGAGCUAGGAUUUUUCUGAGUGCACUGAACCAACUCCCGAGUCUCUAGGACAUUCCUAAAAAAAUUUGAUUUUUUCCCAUAGGAAUGCAUGGGUUAGGGUUAUGGUUAGGGUUAGGGUUGGAGCUAGGGUUAGGGUUAGGGUUAGGGUUGGAGUUAGGGUUAGUGUUGGAGCUAGGGUUAGGGUUGGGCUUGGAGCUAGGAUUUUUCUGAGUGCACUGAACCAACUCCCGAGUCUCUAGGACAUUCCUAAAAAAAUUUGAUUUUUUCCCAUAGGAAUGCAUGGGUUAGGGUUAUGGUUAGGGUUAGGGUUGGAGCUAGGGUUAGGGUUAGGGUUAGGGUUGGAGUUAGGGUUAGUGUUGGAGCUAGGGUUAGGGUUGGGCUUGGAGCUAGGAUUUUUCUGAGUGCACUGAACCAACUCCCGAGUCUCUAGGACAUUCCUAAAAAAAUUUGAGUUUUUCCCAUAGGAAUG
Molecule: long non-coding RNA, 4657 nt
Filed under: Xyrichtys novacula (pearly razorfish)
Lineage: Eukaryota; Metazoa; Chordata; Actinopteri; Labriformes; Labridae
Source: RNAcentral